Molecule: unclassified non-coding RNA, 208 nt
Filed under: Hevea brasiliensis (rubber tree)
Lineage: Eukaryota; Viridiplantae; Streptophyta; Magnoliopsida; Malpighiales; Euphorbiaceae
Source: RNAcentral
AGUGUUUAAUAAUUUGGCCAUAACCUGAGCUAAAAAACUUCAAAUUAAGUGAUUCAAAAAGAAAAAUAGAACUAAGACAUAGAGGAAAAACUUUCAUUAAGAUUACCUUCCCAAAUUAUGACUGAAACUAAGUUGAAAUUGGAUUCUAAAGUCAGGUUUUGAAUUUACCCUGAACGCAGAAAUCAUUAAAUUUUAUGGUAACUUAGGA